Molecule: long non-coding RNA, 1360 nt
Filed under: Capra hircus (goat)
Lineage: Eukaryota; Metazoa; Chordata; Mammalia; Artiodactyla; Bovidae
Description: lncRNA (ENSCHIG00010005319.1)
Source: RNAcentral
CACUAUAAUUUCCAAAAUCAUUAUAGUUUCCACCACCACCAUAGUUACCUGAAAUUGCAAAGAUUUUAUUUGUAGCUGACCUACAGAAGUUUUUAAUACAUACAUGCAUUGCAUUAUCUUUUGAGAAUCACGGCACCAUCCUGACACACACAAUCCUUUAAGAUUUCACAGAACUAUCAAACUCUUUCCACCAGAAAGAUCUCAGACAUACACAGGAGAGGAAGAGAGAGUGAAAAUUGGCUCAAGAGACUAGACAGCUACCAGUCUUCAUAUUAAAUGCUACACUCUGGAACAUUCUCUUCACAACACUAAACACCAUAAAAUCUGAUAGAUUCACUGUAGCUGAAACAGUAUAACUUCUAAGUCACUAAUAAAAAGCAUUUCAAAUUGACUAUUAGGAAAAACCUGUUGAUACAGCAAUACAAUUCAAAAUUGAAUACACUCAUAAUAAUGUUCUUUAAAGUAUCAUGGAGUAUGGAGUAAUGAGUCUGAAACACCACUGACAUAUUUUUAAUCACCUAAAUCCUGAUAACACCUAUUCAACAUGUCUGCAUAUUCAAUUUAUAGUUACCAUCUGUCCAGCUUAAAAGUGCCUAAAGUAAAAAUCCAGGCAACAAACAUUACUGUUAAAUGUCCUAUUUCAAUAUGCAGAACAUGUGAAUACGUUUUGCAAAUUUACUAAAUCGCAACAGUGUAAAAAAAUUCAGUUUAACUCUCCACUAUUUGAGUAUUUUCUAUUAUAAAAUGUGAAAUUUCAUGUUUUAANNNNNNNNNNNNNNNNNNNNNNNNNNNNNNNNNNNNNAUUUCCAAAAUCAUUAUAGUUUCCACCACCACCAUAGUUACCUCCAAAAUUUCCUCCUUCAUUGUAACCAUAUCUUCCACCACCGCCACCACAUCCACCACCUUGGUUUCCAUAUCCUGGUCCACCACCACCAUAACCUCCUCUACUACUAUAACCAGGACCAUCACCAUAGUUGCCACCAUCACCUCCAAAUCCAUUAUAUCCACCACCUUGGUUUCCAUAUCCUCCUGGUCCACCACCACCGUAACCUCCUCUACUACUAUAACCAGGACCACCGCCAUAGUUGCCACCUAGAAAAACAAAUUGAAUUUUUAGACAAAAACAAACGUACAGUCAAAUUAUAGAAUGCCAGUUUACUGUGCUCUUAAGCCCCAGGAAAACAGGCCAAUUAACACACUAAAACUUGGUGAUAUCUGGUUAAUAAAUAGAGCAGCUACAAUCUGGGCUAUUAACCACUAACAUGAAAACUUAAAUCUUUUGAUAUUAAAAAACUGUUCCAUUUUUUUAAAAAUCUAAGAAAUACAGAGUAAACAGUCUCCUCUGAGAAAAAUAAUUCCA